GCUUCUCUUGACAUCGACCGACGGGUGAGUGAUGCCUACGAAUCUGCCUGGUAGUGGGGGAGAACGUUCCUGAACGGACUCUAGUACCUCCCACGUCCUACCGGAGAAAGCAAGGGAGCUUCGGGCCUUGCUCUAUCUAAUGAACCUACGUCGGAUUAACUAGUUGGUGAGGUAAGGGCUCACCAAGGCGAGCAUCCAUACCUGGUCGGACAGGAAGAUCGAUCACACUGGAACUGACAGACGGUCCGCACUCCUACCGGAGGCAGGCAUGGGGAAUAUUGAACAAUGGGUGAAAGCCUGAUCCAUCCAUGCCUGGUGUGUGAAUAAAGUCUUCCGAUUGUAAAGCACUUUCUUUUGGGAGGAAGGGUUGUAUAUUAAUACUCUGCAAUUUUGACGUUCAUCACAGAAUAAGCACCGGCUAACUCUGUGCCAGCCACCGCCGUAAUACAUACGGUGGGAGCGUUAAUCAAAAUUACUGGCCGUAAAUCGCGCGUACGUGGUUUGUUAGGUUGGAUGUGAAAUCCCCGGGCUCUCACCUGGGAACUGCAUUCAGAACUGACUGACUAGAGUGUGGUAGAGAGGUGGUGGAAUUUCCUGUGUAGCGGUGAAAUGCGUAGAUAUAGGAAGGAACACCAGUUGCGAAGGCGGCCACUUGGAAUAAACAUGACACUGAGGUGCGAAAGCGUGGGGAGCCAACCGGGUUAGAUUCCCUGGUAGUUCCCGCCGUUAACGAUGUUAACUAGCCGUUGGAAGCCUUGAGCUCUUAGUGGCGCAGGUAACGCAUUAAGUUGACCGCCUGGGGAGUACGGCCGCAAGGUUUAAAAUUAAAUGAAUUGACGGGGGCCCGCCCCAGCGGUGGAGCCUGUGGUUUAAUUUGAAGCAACGCGAAGAACCUUACCAGGCCUUGACCUUCAAUGAACUUUUCAGAGAUAGAUUGGUGCCUUUGGGAACAUUACGACCGGUGGUGCCUGGCCGUUGUCAACUUGUGUCUUGAGAUGUUUGGUUAAAUCCCGUAACGAGCGCAACCCUUGUCCUUAGUUACCCACACGUUAUGUUGGGCACUCUAAGGAGACUGCCGGUGACAAACCGGAGGAAGGUGGGGAUGACGUCAAGUCAUCAUGGCCCUUACGGCUUGGGCUACACACGUGCUACAAUGGUCGGUACAAAGGGUUGCCAAGCCGCGAGGUGGAGCUAAUCCCAUAAAACCGGUCGUAGUCCGGAUCGCAGUCUGCAACUCGACUCCGUGAAGUCGGAAUCGCUAGUAAUCGCGAAUCA
This 1275-nucleotide ribosomal RNA is filed under the name Pseudomonas sp. MML1903. RNAcentral describes it as "partial 16S ribosomal RNA". It matches the Rfam family "Bacterial small subunit ribosomal RNA", at positions 82 to 1351 of the family's 1533-position model. Lineage: Bacteria; Pseudomonadati; Pseudomonadota; Gammaproteobacteria; Pseudomonadales; Pseudomonadaceae. RNAcentral also lists the same sequence under 1 other name. The record is from RNAcentral.